Molecule: ribosomal RNA, 504 nt
Filed under: uncultured bacterium
Lineage: Bacteria
Description: partial 16S ribosomal RNA
Rfam family: Bacterial small subunit ribosomal RNA
Source: RNAcentral
AUUGAACGCUGGCGGCAGGCCUAACACAUGCAAGUCGGACGGUAGCACAGAGAGCUUGCUCUCGGGUGACGAGUGGCGGACGGGUGAGUAACGUCUGGGAAACUGCCCGAUGGAGGGGGAUAACUACUGGAAACGGUAGCUAAUACCGCAUAACGUCGCAAGACCAAAGUGGGGGACCUUCGGGCCUCACACCAUCGGAUGUGACCAGAUGGGAUUAGCUAGUAGGUGGGGUAAUGGCUCACCUAGGCGACGAUCCCUAGCUGGUCUGAGAGGAGGACCAGCCACACUGGAACUGAGACACGGUCCAGACUCCUACGGGAGGCAGCAGUGGGGAAUAUUGCACAAUGGGCGCAAGCCUGAUGCAGCCAUGCCGCGUGUAUGAAGAAGGCCUUCGGGUUGUAAAGUACUUUCAGCGGGGAGGAAGGCGGUGAAGUUAAUAGCUUCACCGAUUGACGUUACCCGCAGAAGAAGCACCGGCUAACUCCGUGCCAGCCGCCGCAGUAA